This 253-nucleotide ribosomal RNA is filed under the name uncultured bacterium. RNAcentral describes it as "partial 16S ribosomal RNA". It matches the Rfam family "Bacterial small subunit ribosomal RNA", at positions 524 to 776 of the family's 1533-position model. The record is from RNAcentral.
UACAGAGGUCCCAAGCGUUGUUCGGAUUCAUUGGGCGUAAAGGGUGCGUAGGUGGCGCCGUAAGUCAGGUGUGAAAUCUCGGGGCUCAACCCCGAAACUGCACUUGAUACUGCGGUGCUCGAGUACUGGAGAGGAGAUUGGAAUUUACGGUGUAGCAGUGAAAUGCGUAGAUAUCGUAAGGAAGACCAGUGGCGAAGGCGAAUCUCUGGACAGUUACUGACACUGAGGCACGAAAGCGUGGGGAGCGAACAGG